Molecule: small nucleolar RNA, 79 nt
Filed under: Calypte anna (Anna's hummingbird)
Lineage: Eukaryota; Metazoa; Chordata; Aves; Apodiformes; Trochilidae
Description: Small nucleolar RNA SNORD26
Rfam family: Small nucleolar RNA SNORD26
About the family: U26 is a member of the C/D class of snoRNA which contain the C (UGAUGA) and D (CUGA) box motifs. U26 is encoded within the U22 snoRNA host gene (UHG) in mammals and is thought to act as a 2'-O-ribose methylation guide for ribosomal RNA.
Source: Rfam by way of RNAcentral
CUGCGGGGAUGAUGGCACCGAACUCUCUCUUGCCGAUUCCCCCGUGGGGAAAAAAACUGCUGAAGAUUUUCUGAGCGGC